UACGUAGGGUGCAAGCGUUGUCCGGAAUUAUUGGGCGUAAAGAGCUCGUAGGCGGUUUGUCGCGUCGGAUGUGAAAAUCCAGGGCUCAACCCUGGACCUGCAUUCGAUACGGGCAGACUAGAGUUCGGUAGGGGAGACUGGAAUUCCUGGUGUAGCGGUGAAAUGCGCAGAUAUCAGGAGGAACACCGGUGGCGAAGGCGGGUCUCUGGGCCGAAACUGACGCUGAGGUGCGAAAGCGUGGGGAGCAAACAGG
RNAcentral lists this ribosomal RNA (253 nucleotides) under uncultured bacterium. RNAcentral describes it as "partial 16S ribosomal RNA". It matches the Rfam family "Bacterial small subunit ribosomal RNA", at positions 524 to 776 of the family's 1533-position model. The record is from RNAcentral.